AGAAUUUGUGUUAAAAGGAAUCAGAGAUCAUGCUGAGAUGUUGGAGUGAUUGGCAGCAACAUGAACCAUAGAAUAUAGCUAUGUUGACACUUGGCAGACCUGGAGUAGGUUCUCUGAAAAUGAUGACCAGAAAGGAAUGUGGCUAUAUCUAUACAUGCACUUUGUUCCUCUGUAUCAAUUUCAACUUUUCUAGAAGGUGCCCAUGGAGUAAAAAAAGAUAA
This 221-nucleotide long non-coding RNA is filed under the name Phasianus colchicus (ring-necked pheasant). RNAcentral's name for it is "lncRNA (ENSPCLG00000003024.1)". Lineage: Eukaryota; Metazoa; Chordata; Aves; Galliformes; Phasianidae. The record is from RNAcentral.